AUAAGAUCCAGACCUGUAACCCAUUAUUGCUGCUUUACGCUAUGAUGCUCAUUCCAGUCCCUCCGUAUUCUUUUAUCUAGCAGCAUUUAUUUUAUAGAGGCCAUUUGGUCAUUCUAGCAAACUCUUCUUAAGUGAACCAUCUUAUUUUAGAGUUUCAUUCCACCCCUAUUAGAGGUCAUGCUAGGGCAUUCUGGAUAUAUAGAAGGUUGGCUACAAG
RNAcentral lists this unclassified non-coding RNA (217 nucleotides) under Hevea brasiliensis (rubber tree). Lineage: Eukaryota; Viridiplantae; Streptophyta; Magnoliopsida; Malpighiales; Euphorbiaceae. The record is from RNAcentral.